Molecule: transfer RNA, 65 nt
Filed under: Otomantis scutigera
Lineage: Eukaryota; Metazoa; Arthropoda; Insecta; Mantodea; Hymenopodidae
Description: tRNA-Gly
Source: RNAcentral
AUUUAUUUAGUAUAAUAAGUACUUUUGAUUUCCAAUCAAAUAGUCUAAUAAAUUUAGAAUAAAUA